CAGAUGUACACUGGAGAGAGUGAGAGGUGUGAUGGAAAGCUGACCGGAAAUAAAAAGAGAAAAAAAAAAAGAAUCAGCAUGGGAGAAAAGAAAAAGAAGAUUUAUGAUAUACUCCAGUUUUGGAAGGAAAGAUUAACAAGGAAGGAGAAUAUUAAUGAAAAGGAGUGAGAAACGGACUGAAUGAGAGAAAGCAAGGGAUACGGCGCACUCAUAUACUGAGACGCUGUUCUUACAGAACAGGGCAGGACAUCAACAACUGCUCGACCUGCCAGAAAACAGCCUGCAUCAUUUACAGACAGACACACACCGUUCUGAGUGAGUUUGGUGGAGCAGACAAGGGUGGAGAUGGUGAAGCUGUCUCGUGAGCUGACCGACAGGCUUCCCGCAGUGCUGUUAUUCCUCAUCAGCGUCGACCCUUUGUGGGUGUCAGUGUGUGUG
Ictalurus furcatus (blue catfish) is the source of this 438-nucleotide long non-coding RNA. RefSeq lists it as uncharacterized. NCBI's taxonomy places the organism in Eukaryota, Metazoa, Chordata, Actinopteri, Siluriformes, Ictaluridae. The transcript has 3 exons. The record is from RefSeq and is a predicted model, not a curated record.